Molecule: long non-coding RNA, 1105 nt
Filed under: Numida meleagris (helmeted guineafowl)
Lineage: Eukaryota; Metazoa; Chordata; Aves; Galliformes; Numididae
Description: lncRNA (ENSNMEG00000006581.1)
Source: RNAcentral
CUUUGGAGGAAGGAUUUUUCUUCAGAAUAAAGGCUCUCAUUAAGCAUUGCCUCCAGGCAGUUUGAGUUGCCUGCACAGUGCUUUGGAGGAGCAAUGAAAAGCUUCAGCUGUGCUGUAAGAGGCAUUUCUACCUUCCCAGGAGUGCCCAGGCUUGACCCCAUUUAGCUAGUGAGAUCAAUUUAGGUCAUAGAGCGAGGUCAGCCUCUAUAUGCUGUUCUUGGAGACUUUAAAAAUGACUACACGGAGUUGGUUAGCCAUUACGUUUGUCUCAGAUCAUCUCUCACCUCUUUCUGCCAGGGUAAGAUUUCUCUCUGGUAAGCAAUGAAAAUUGUGACUCAGAACCUUCACAAAUGGGAAGUGGAAACUCCUGAUUUCUAAUCAAGAUAAUGUUUGUGCAAACAAAUGGAUAUUUGCAGUCUGAACAGCAGUUCCAGUAUCUGGAUAUACCCAGUAACACCGCACCAUACCAAGAACUUUGUAUGAAGAAACCUGGGGCAAACCUGCACAUGACAUGGAUAAUCUUUUGCUGUUGAAGUCAGUGUAUCUAUUUCAGUUUGCACCAGCUGAGUAUGUGACUCUUCUCAGCUCAUGAGCUGUAACAAAGCUGAAAAGAUGGAUAGAAAUAGCAAGAAAAGAUUUGUCAUGUUUGGGUAGACAUUACGUAGGGAGGUGUGUGUAUAUAUAUGGGGAGAGAGAAUAUAUAAAGACAAGGACUUGGGCAUACUUCCCAUAUGUUUCAAAUCCUUUGAAAAUGUAAAAUCUUAAGGGAUAAAAGUUCACCUAUUUGACAAUGAGCUCUGAUUUUUGUUUUCCUUUUUUCUUUAUUUUCCAAUCACGUUGGUCCAUGAUACGUACUAAAAUAUCUUCCCAUUUCGCUGUUUUGUGGCACCUGGUAUGCUUGAGACUUUCAGCUUACUCAAGGCAAUAACAUUAUCUAUUGCAUAUUUUGUGGUUUUGUUCCAAAAAUAUUGGUGGGGGAAAAAAAUCUGUAGCCAAAAUAGAAUAUUAUAAUGUAAUCAGAUUAUUUUUAACUGCUAUCUAUAUUGUUAAAAGUAAGAUGGACUCCAUAUAAAUAUCAUAUAAAUAAAUAUAAAUAAUAACAACA